Molecule: ribosomal RNA, 460 nt
Filed under: uncultured bacterium
Lineage: Bacteria
Description: partial 16S ribosomal RNA
Rfam family: Bacterial small subunit ribosomal RNA
Source: RNAcentral
CCUACGGGAGGCAGCAGUGAGGAAUAUUGGUCAAUGGACGAGAGUCUGAACCAGCCAAGUAGCGUGAAGGAUGACUGCCCUAUGGGUUGUAAACUUCUUUUAUAAGGGAAUAAAAUGUUCCACGUGUGGGAUUUUGUAUGUACCUUAUGAAUAAGGAUCGGCUAACUCCGUGCCAGCAGCCGCGGUAAUACGGAGGAUCCGAGCGUUAUCCGGAUUUAUUGGGUUUAAAGGGUGCGUAGGUGGAUUGUUAAGUCAGUGGUGAAAGUUUGCGGCUCAACCGUAAAAUUGCAGUUGAAACUGGCAGUCUUGAGUACAGUAGAGGUAGGCGGAAUGCGUGGUGUAGCGGUGAAAUGCUUAGAUAUCACGAAGAACUCCGAUUGCGAAGGCAGCUCACUAGGCUGCGACUGACACUAAGGCUCGAAAGUGUGGGGAUCAAACAGGAUUAGAUACCCCUGUAGUC